AGAGUUUGAUCAUGGCUCAGAUUGAACGCUGGCGGCAUGCCUUACACAUGCAAGUCGAACGGCAGCGCGGGGCAACCUGGCGGCGAGUGGCGAACGGGUGAGUAAUAUAUCGGAACAUACCCUAGAGUGGGGGAUAACGUAGCGAAAGUUACGCUAAUACCGCAUACGCACUAAGGUGGAAAGUGGGGGAUCGCAAGACCUCAUGCUCAUGGAGUGGCCGAUAUCUGAUUAGCUAGUUGGUGAGGUAAAGGCUCACCAAGGCGACGAUCAGUAGCUGGUCUGAGAGGACGACCAGCCACACUAGAACUGAGACACGGUCCAGACUCCUACGGGAGGCAGCAGUGGGGAAUUUUGGACAAUGGGGGCAACCCUGAUCCAGCAAUGCCGCGUGAGUGAAGAAGGCCUUCGGGUUGUAAAGCUCUUUUGUCAGGGAAGAAACGGUGGUCUCUAAUAUAGGCUGCUAAUGACGGUACCUGAAGAAUAAGCACCGGCUAACUACGUGCCAGCAGCCGCGGUAAUACGUAGGGUGCAAGCGUUAAUCGGAAUUACUGGGCGUAAAGCGUGCGCAGGCGGUUAUAUAAGUCAGAUGUGAAAUCCCCGGGCUCAACCUGGGAACUGCAUUUGAGACUGUGUGGCUAGAGUGUGUCAGAGGGGGGUAGAAUUCCACGUGUAGCAGUGAAAUGCGUAGAUAUGUGGAGGAAUACCGAUGGCGAAGGCAGCCCCCUGGGAUAACACUGACGCUCAUGCACGAAAGCGUGGGGAGCAAACAGGAUAGAUACCCUGGUAGUCCACGCCCUAAACGAUGCGAACUGGAUGUUGGGUGCAAUUUGGCACGCGCAGUAUCGAAGCUAACGCGUUAAGUUCGCCGCCUGGGGAGUACGGUCGCAAGACUGAAACUCAAAGGAAUUGACGGGGGCCCGCACAAGCGGUGGAGUAUGUGGUUUAAUUCGAUGCAACGCGAAGAACCUUACCUGGUCUUGACAUGUCGAGAACUUUCCAGAGAUGGAUUGGUGCCUUCGGGAACUCGAACACAGGUGCUGCAUGGCUGUCGUCAGCUCGUGUCGUGAGAUGUUGGGUUAAGUCCCGCAACGAGCGCAACCCUUGUCCUUAGUUGCCAGCACGUAAUGGUGGGAACUCUAAGGAGACCGCCGGUGACAAACCGGAGGAAGGUGGGGAUGACGUCAAGUCAUCAUGGCCCUUACGACCAGGGCUACACACGUACUACAAUGGUAGGGACAGAGGGCUGCAAACCCGCGAGGGCAAGCCAAUCCCAGAAACCCUAUCUCAGUCCGGAUUGGAGUCUGCAACUCGACUCCAUGAAGUCGGAAUCGCUAGUAAUCGCAGAUCAGCAUUGCUGCGGUGAAUACGUUCCCGGGCCUUGUACACACCGCCCGUCACACCAUGGGAGUUUGUUGCACCAGAAGCAGGUAGCUUAACCUUCGGGAGGGCGCUUGCCACGGUGUGGCCGAUGACUGGGGUGAAGUCGUAACAAGGUAGCC
This 1499-nucleotide ribosomal RNA is filed under the name uncultured bacterium. Its description in RNAcentral is "bacterial SSU rRNA". It matches the Rfam family "Bacterial small subunit ribosomal RNA". The record is from RNAcentral.